This 241-nucleotide ribosomal RNA is filed under the name uncultured bacterium. Its description in RNAcentral is "partial 16S ribosomal RNA". It matches the Rfam family "Bacterial small subunit ribosomal RNA", at positions 94 to 334 of the family's 1533-position model. The record is from RNAcentral.
AGCGGCGGACGGGUGAGUAACGCGUGGGUAACCUGCCGUCAUACAGGGGGAUAACAGUUGGAAACGGCUGCUAAUACCGCAUAAGCGCACAGUACCGCAUGGUACCGUGUGAAAAACUCCGGUGGUAUGAGAUGGACCCGCGUCUGAUUAGGUAGUUGGUGGGGUAACGGCCUACCAAGCCGACGAUCAGUAGCCGACCUGAGAGGGUGACCGGCCACAUUGGGACUGAGACAUGGCCCAA